UACCCUGACGAAGCAACGCCGCGUGGAGGGUGAAGGCCUUCGGGUCGUAAACUCCUGUCGACCGGGACGAAAGCAGCCUGACCCAAUACGUCGGACUGUUGACUGUACCGGUGGAGGAAGCCACGGCUAACUCUGUGCCAGCAGCCGCGGUAAUACAGAGGUGGCAAGCGUUGUUCGGAAUUACUGGGCGUAAAGGGCGCGUAGGCGGCUUGGUCAGUCCCGUGUGAAAUCCCUCGGCUCAACUGAGGAACUGCACGGGAAACUGCCUGGCUUGAGUUCGGGAGAGGGAAGCGGAAUUCCGGGUGUAGCGGUGAAAUGCGUAGAUAUCCGGAGGAACACCGGUGGCGAAGGCGGCUUCCUGGACCGACACUGACGCUGAGGCGCGAAAGCUAGGGGAGCAAACGGGAUUAGAUACCCCGGUAGUCCUAGCUGUAAACGAUGAGUGCUGGGUGUAGGGGGUAUCAACCCCUCCUGUGCCGAAGCUAACGCAUUAAGCACUCCGCCUGGGGAGUACGGUCGCAAGGCUG
RNAcentral lists this ribosomal RNA (527 nucleotides) under uncultured bacterium. RNAcentral describes it as "bacterial SSU rRNA". It matches the Rfam family "Bacterial small subunit ribosomal RNA", at positions 379 to 896 of the family's 1533-position model. The record is from RNAcentral.